GAUGAACGCUGGCGGCGUGCCUAAUACAUGCCAGUCGAGCGAACAGACGAUGAUCUUGCUCCUCUGACUUUAGCGGCGGACGGGUGAUUAACACGUGUAUAACCUACCUAUAAUACUGGGAUAACUUCGGGAAUCCGGAGCUAAUACCGGAUAAUAUAUUGUACCUCAUUGUUCAAUAGUGAAAUACGUUUUUUCUGUCACUUAUAGAUUGUUCCGCGCCGCAUUAGCUAGUUGUUAAGGUAACGGCUUACCAAGGCAACGAUGCGUAGCCGAACUGAGAGGGUGAUCGGCCAAACUGGAAGUGAGAAACGGUAAAGAGUACUACGGGAGGCAGCAGUAGGGAAUGUUAGGCAAUGGGCGAAAGCAUGACGGAGCAACGCCGCGUGAGUGAUGAAGGACUUCGGAUCGUAAAAAUCUGUUAUUAGGGAAGAAAAAAUGUGUAAGAAACUAUGCACGUCUUGACGGUAACUAAUAAGAAAGCAACGGCUAACUACGUG
Molecule: ribosomal RNA, 497 nt
Filed under: uncultured bacterium
Lineage: Bacteria
Description: partial 16S ribosomal RNA
Rfam family: Bacterial small subunit ribosomal RNA
Source: RNAcentral